CGGGAAGAGCUCAAAUUUAUAAUCUGGCGCUUUCAGCGUCCGAGUUGUAAUCUCUAGAAGUGUUUUCCGCGUUGGACCGCACAUAAGUCUGUUGGAAUACAGCGGCACAGUGGUGAGACCCCCGUUCACGGUGCGGAUGCCCAAUGCUUUGUGAUACACUUUCGAAGAGUCGAGUUGUUUGGGAAUGCAGCUCAAAUUGGGUGGUAAAUUCCAUCUAAAGCUAAAUAUUGGCGAGAGACCGAUAGCGAACAAGUACCGUGAGGGAAAGAUGAAAAGCACUUUGGAAAGAGAGUUAACAGUACGUGAAAUUGUUGGAAGGGAAACGCUUGAAGUCAGACUUGCUAUUCGGGGCUUGCUCCGAGUUGCAGGCCAGCAUCAGUUUUUCGGGGCGGAAAAUCACGGAUUGAAGGUAGCAGUUUCGGCUGUGUUAUAGCUUUCCGUUGGAUACGUCCUGGGGGACUGAGGAACGCAGUGUGCUUUUAGCGAGGGCUUCGGCUCUUUCACACUUAGGAUGCUGGUGGAAUGGCUUUAAACGACCCGUCUU
This 544-nucleotide unclassified non-coding RNA is filed under the name Rhodosporidiobolus ruineniae. RNAcentral describes it as "sequence contains 28S rRNA gene". It matches the Rfam family "Eukaryotic large subunit ribosomal RNA", at positions 99 to 655 of the family's 3401-position model. The record is from RNAcentral. Lineage: Eukaryota; Fungi; Basidiomycota; Microbotryomycetes; Sporidiobolales; Sporidiobolaceae.